UGAAGCUCUCAUAUCUAUUGAAGGGCAACUAUUCAAGAUCAAUAGUUACACAGAUGGGUAUGCCUUCGCCUCUUAAUACAGACUUGCCAUGAAUGAGAAGAAGACAAGAAGCGUGAGAGGUCAAGGAGUUGUUGAUUCAAGCUUUUCUCUGGCUGCACCACCAAUUGCUCUGUUAUUCUGGGUUUCAAU
This is a long non-coding RNA of Rosa chinensis, 189 nucleotides long. RefSeq lists it as uncharacterized. Lineage: Eukaryota; Viridiplantae; Streptophyta; Magnoliopsida; Rosales; Rosaceae. The transcript is spliced from 3 exons. The record is from RefSeq and is a predicted model, not a curated record.